This 447-nucleotide ribosomal RNA is filed under the name uncultured bacterium. RNAcentral's name for it is "partial 16S ribosomal RNA". It matches the Rfam family "Bacterial small subunit ribosomal RNA", at positions 29 to 523 of the family's 1533-position model. The record is from RNAcentral.
AACGAACGCUGGCGGCAGGCUUAACACAUGCAAGUCAAGCGCGUAGCAAUACGAGCGGCAGACGGGUGAGUAACGCGUGGGAAUCUACCGAGCCCUAAGGAAUAGCUCCGGGAAACUGGAAUUAAUACCUUAUACGCCCUUUGGGGGAAAGAUUUAUCGGGGUUUGAUGAGCCCGCGUUGGAUUAGCUAGUUGGUGUGGUAAAGGCCUACCAAGGCGACGAUCCAUAGCUAGUCUGAGAGGAUGAUCAGCCACAUUGGGACUGAGACACGGCCCAAACUCCUAAGUGGGGCAGCAGUGUGGACUAUUGGACAAUGGGCGCCAGCCUGAUCCAGCCAUGCCGCGUGAGUGAUGAAGGCCAUAGGGUUGUAAAGCUCUUUCACCGGUGAAGAUAAUGACGGUAACCGGAGAAGAAGCCCCGGCUAACUUCGUGCCAGCCGCCGCCGUAA